RNAcentral lists this ribosomal RNA (118 nucleotides) under Lupinus angustifolius (narrow-leaved blue lupine). Lineage: Eukaryota; Viridiplantae; Streptophyta; Magnoliopsida; Fabales; Fabaceae. The record is from RNAcentral.
AGGUGCGAUCAUACUAGACUAAUGCACCAGAUCCCAUAUGAACUCCACAGAUAAGCGUGCUUGGGCGAGACUAGUAUUAGUAUGGAUGACCUCCUGGGAAGUCCUCGUGUUGCACCUC